This 253-nucleotide unclassified non-coding RNA is filed under the name uncultured Moraxellaceae bacterium. Its description in RNAcentral is "contains 16S-23S intergenic spacer region". It matches the Rfam family "Bacterial small subunit ribosomal RNA", at positions 524 to 776 of the family's 1533-position model. The record is from RNAcentral. Lineage: Bacteria; Pseudomonadati; Pseudomonadota; Gammaproteobacteria; Moraxellales; Moraxellaceae.
UACGGAGGGUGCAAGCGUUAAUCGGAAUUACUGGGCGUAAAGCGUGCGUAGGCGGCUUUUUAAGUCGGAUGUGAAAUCCCCGAGCUUAACUUGGGAAUUGCAUUCGAUACUGGGAGGCUAGAGUCUUGUAGAGGGGGGUAGAAUUCCAGGUGUAGCGGUGAAAUGCGUAGAGAUCUGGAGGAAUACCGAUGGCGAAGGCAGCCAUCUGGCCUAAUACUGACGCUGAGGUACGAAAGCAUGGGGAGCAAACAGG